UAUAUAUAUUUUUAUAUAUAACCCAUCACCUACUGAAUGCAAUUAACCAGCACAAAAGGAAAUAUGGUAACUCCUUCUAUCCAAAUAACUCCUAUUUUGAUCGGGAGGAUGGCGGCCAUGUUACUCACCCUCCCGUGUACAGCGGGGGGAGGGUGUGCUUUGUCUGUCAGCUCACAUCGGUGCUAACGGGUGUUGCCUGUGCAGUUAUGUCUGUCAAAUACAUCUCUCAACUUGGAAAUGUUGGAAAACUCACUCCAGUCCAGUGUUUGACAAAUCAUAUUAUAAAAACAUCCUUGCACAUACAUUUAAAAAAAGAAAAAAGAAAAGAAAAAACUUUAUCCCCUAUUUCAAAACAGCAGUCAAUACAUUUCAUACAAGCUUGUUUCAUAACAACAAUAAUAACAACAUACAAACCAACUUGGAGCAUAAAUUAUCAAAAACAAACUGAACACAUUACUGCAGCAUAUAUUUCAGGGUUGCUUAGUUGUGAUGUUAACUAACUUUACUACAACAGCUCCACUUCUGCCAAGUUCAUAACUAUAUAAGAGAUGUCUUUUUUUUUCUUUUUUUAUGAAGGGAAAUAGUCAAAAUCAAAAGCUGACAUAGGCAAAAAAAAAAAAAAGCCUGACAAAAUAUACACAUAUUUAUAACCACAUCUCAAAUUUCAACUCAUGUGCAUGUUUACAAAAGCAUCUAGGUACAUGAUAUGGCAGCAAAAAGCCUGAAAGCACGAUGGAAGAAGAAGAAAAAUCAAAAUCAAACCUAAGCUGCUUUUUAAAAAGGGUGCGUGUAAUUUUGGAUUUUAAAUGUUAAUAUCUUCGGCCCGGGUUUUGAUUUAAAAAAAAAAAACAAAAAAAAAAAACCCUGCCUGAAUUACAGUAAUUCAAUUUUCUAUUUUGAAUACACAGGAUGAACAAAUACAGCAGAUUUUACCCAGAUUUGGACCUCAUAGUUAUAAAACUAAUUGUUGCCAAAUGAUUUACAUUCGCUAUUACAAAAAUAUACUCUUUUUUUGAAUCACUUUGAUAAAUAAUACCUAAUCACGUCGCGAUGUUGAAAUCCAUCGUACAGUUUGGUUUGAAUUUACUUUUGUUGCGCAGUGACAACCGGCUUUGUUGCCUUUCUUUCAGCGAACAUUAAGGUCGAUUUGUUAAUAGGUGACGAGCACCUAAACUAGAUUUGAGUUGCUGAGACUUAAAGUUGUGUAUAAUUUUUUUUUUUCCAUUUUUUUUUUUUUUGGCUUAAUAAACAACUUACAAAUAUGUGCAAACUUAACAUCUUGGUCCAUCUCAAGUAUAAAUGGCUGAAUGUACUCUUAAGUUACAAUGUCAGAUUAGUUACUAGGGACAGCCUUAAAUAUAUUAAACACAAUCCAAUGUGAAGGUGAAAGUGUACACCGAUUUGCUAAAUGUGUGUAUAGAAGACGUAACCAAUGAUUAUUAUGUUUUGCCAGAGGAACAAUGCAACAUUUACAAUCUUAUACAUGUUUUAACAUGCAAUAGUUUACAUCACAGCUAUUGUGUCAGAUUCAUUUUUAUGUUUUGUUGCAUUUCUUAUUUUUAAAAAAAGAAAAUCUAUUUUGGUCUACAAUAGGCAAAUUAACACAACCACAAAACUAUAAACAAGUGACAUAACGUAUACGCAUUUUCACAAGCACCCUGCCAUGAGAUUAAAAACAAA
This is a long non-coding RNA of Astatotilapia calliptera (eastern happy), 1680 nucleotides long. The record is from Ensembl. NCBI's taxonomy places the organism in Eukaryota, Metazoa, Chordata, Actinopteri, Cichliformes, Cichlidae.